This 253-nucleotide ribosomal RNA is filed under the name uncultured bacterium. Its description in RNAcentral is "partial 16S ribosomal RNA". It matches the Rfam family "Bacterial small subunit ribosomal RNA", at positions 524 to 776 of the family's 1533-position model. The record is from RNAcentral.
UACAGAGGGGGCGAGCGUUGUUCGGAAUUACUGGGCGUAAAGGGCACGUAGGCGGCCUUCUAAGUCGGACGUGAAAGCCCCAGGCUUAACCUGGGAACUGCGUCCGAUACUGGGAGGCUUGGAUUCGGGAGAGGGAUGUGGAAUUCCAGGUGUAGCGGUGAAAUGCGUAGAUAUCUGGAGGAACACCGGUGGCGAAGGCGGCAUCCUGGACCGACAUCGACGCUGAGGCGCGAAAGCUAGGGGAGCAAACGGG